CCUACGGGUGGCUGCAGUGGGGAAUAUUGCACAAUGGGGGAAACCCUGAUGCAGCGACGCAGCGUGAGUGAAGAAGUAUUUCGGUACGUUAAGCUCUAUCAGCAGGGAAAUAAAACCGGCCUUAGGGCCGCCAGACGGUACCUGACUAAGAAGCCCCGGCUCACUACGUGCCAGCAGCCGCGGUAAUACGUAGGGGGCAAGCGUUAUCCGGAUUUACUGGGUGUAAAGGGAGCGUAGACGGCAGCGCAAGUCUGGAGUGAAAUGCCGGGGCCCAACCCCGGAACUGCUUUGGAAACUGGGCAGCUGGAGUGCAGGAGAGGUAAGCGGAAUUCGUAGUGUAGCGGUGAAAUGCGUAGAUAUUAGGAGGAACACCAGUGGCGAAGGCGGCUUACUGGACUGUAACUGACGUUGAGGCUCGAAAGCGUGGGGAGCAAACAGGAUUAGAUACCCUUGUAGUC
RNAcentral lists this ribosomal RNA (458 nucleotides) under uncultured bacterium. RNAcentral describes it as "partial 16S ribosomal RNA". It matches the Rfam family "Bacterial small subunit ribosomal RNA", at positions 338 to 795 of the family's 1533-position model. The record is from RNAcentral.